RNAcentral lists this ribosomal RNA (200 nucleotides) under uncultured bacterium. Its description in RNAcentral is "partial 16S ribosomal RNA". It matches the Rfam family "Bacterial small subunit ribosomal RNA", at positions 29 to 256 of the family's 1533-position model. The record is from RNAcentral.
AACGAACGCUGGCGGCAUGCCUAACACAUGCAAGUCGAACGAGACCUUCGGGUCUAGUGGCGCACGGGUGCGUAACGCGUGGGAAUCUACCCUUGGGUUCGGAAUAACAGUGAGAAAUUACUGCUAAUACCGGAUGAUGUCGAAAGACCAAAGAUUUAUCGCCCGAGGAUGAGCCCGCGUUGGAUUAGCUAGUUGGUGAG